Molecule: non-coding RNA, 469 nt
Organism: Paramuricea clavata
Lineage: Eukaryota; Metazoa; Cnidaria; Anthozoa; Malacalcyonacea; Plexauridae
Source: the annotation of a GenBank genome assembly
CCUAGAACUAUUGCUCGAUUGUUCGCGCUAUUGUGAUUUCUGGAUAGCUCGUUUUGUAUUUAGACUUUGAUGGGUGAUUUGUUAGACAUGUAUAAAUAUAGCCAAAAGAAAUUGCGCAAAAUAUGUUUUUAUUUCAGGUGCGGAGAGGUGGGUGGUUCGCUGGCAACAAGCAGAAGGAUUGGACCUGAACUUUCUAAACGGUUUUACAUCCUCUUUCAUUCGAAAGAAAAUAGCGAUUUAGUCAAGGGAUAGAACAUAUUUAAGUUGAAAAGAAAUAGACUGUUGAAUUAAGUAUUAAGAUUCAUUUUGAAUAUUGUAGAAUUAAAACCAAACUACUUCGAUACACAAGCAAUAUGAGCAAAUUAAAACAGUUAAACCGACUUUAUUUACAUUGGAUAACUGUAUAAUUUCGGUUCAAUGGGUCCAGUACAUAGAGAGUUUGUUAGUAGUCUAGUUUUAGUACCUUGAA